AACGAACGCUGGCGGCAUGCCUAACACAUGCAAGUCGAACGAGACCUUCGGGUCUAGUGGCGCACGGGUGCGUAACGCGUGGGAACCUGCCCUUAGGUUCGGAAUAACUCCCCGAAAGGGGUGCUAAUACCGGAUAAUGUCUUCGGACCAAAGAUUUAUCGCCUUUGGAUGGGCCCGCGUUGGAUUAGCUAGUUGGUAGGGUAAAAGCCUACCAAGGCGACGAUCCAUAGCUGGUCUGAGAGGAUGAACAGCCACACUGGGACUGAGACACGGCCCAGACUCCUGCGGGAAGCAGCAGUAGGGAAUAUUGGACAAUGGGCGAAGGCCUGAUCCAGCAAAGCCGCGUGGGUGAUAAAGGCCUUAGGGUUAUAAAGCUCUUUUAACCGGGAUGAUAAUGACAGUACCGGGAGAAUAAGCUCCGGCUAACUCCGUG
This 433-nucleotide ribosomal RNA is filed under the name uncultured bacterium. RNAcentral's name for it is "partial 16S ribosomal RNA". It matches the Rfam family "Bacterial small subunit ribosomal RNA", at positions 29 to 507 of the family's 1533-position model. The record is from RNAcentral.